AAAAUUUAAAAUUAAGAUACUGAAAUAGUAAAUAAAUAUUUAUUGAAACUUAAAUAAUUUGGCGGUAUUUUAGUUCAUUUAGAGGAAUCUGUUUAAUAAUUGAUAUUCCACGAAUAAAUUUACUUAAUUUAUGAUUUUGUAUAUCGUUGUUAUAAAAAUAUUUUUUAAUAAAAUUAAUAUUUAAAAAUUAAUAUUAAAAUUUAAAUCAAAUCAAGAUGCAGAUUAUAAUUAAGAAUAUAAUGGAUUACAAUAAAUUUAUUUAAGUGAAUUUUAAUUUGUAAUAAUUAUUUGAAAUUGGAUUUAAAUGUAAUUUUAUUUAAUUUAAUAAAAUGAUUAAAAAUUAAAAUAUGU
Molecule: ribosomal RNA, 351 nt
Filed under: Poeonoma serrata
Lineage: Eukaryota; Metazoa; Arthropoda; Insecta; Lepidoptera; Noctuidae
Description: partial 12S small subunit ribosomal RNA
Source: RNAcentral